RNAcentral lists this long non-coding RNA (462 nucleotides) under Nicotiana benthamiana. RNAcentral's name for it is "long non-coding RNA (NBEN_LNC038342)". Lineage: Eukaryota; Viridiplantae; Streptophyta; Magnoliopsida; Solanales; Solanaceae. The record is from RNAcentral.
CACGUGUUUUUCGCUUAAACCAGUAGUAAAAAGAGGCUUUUCAAUCACUAAAGAAACUUCAGAAAUUUGAACCCCCAUUUCUUCUGGGAAUAAACCCUCACAGAAAUAAUAUUUACGGUACUAAAAAUAGAAUAACAACGUGGUACCGAGAUAUAGUAAUUAAUAAGAAUAAAAGAGUAUCAACAACAUUAAAAUUUUUACGUGGAAAACCUUUCUUGAAUAAGAGAAAAAAUCACGGUCCGAGAGGAGCAACAUAUAUCACUAUAGCAAGAAAUUUUACACUUUGCAGAUCCAAGUAAAAUACUCCAAAGACAACUAAAAUACUGAAAAGAAAUAACCCUCUUUUGAUAUUCCCACCUCACUACAAUAUCGCUCACUCUCUAUUUUUCUUACAGACUAUUUUCUUAUACCAUGUCUGUUAAACCUCACUCUUUCUUUCUAACUCUCAGAUAUAUUUUUCCU